ACACAGGUAGUUCAGUGGUAGAAAACCUGCCCGGUAAGCGGAAGCCCCGGGUUCGACUCCCGGUCUGUGCA
Pristionchus pacificus is the source of this 71-nucleotide non-coding RNA. Lineage: Eukaryota; Metazoa; Nematoda; Chromadorea; Rhabditida; Neodiplogasteridae. The record is from Rfam.